GCCGACAUAGCUCAACGGUAGAGCAAUGGUUUUGUAAACCGGAGGCUGUGGGUUCAAAUCCUACUGUCGGCACCA
This 75-nucleotide transfer RNA is filed under the name Brucella anthropi. RNAcentral's name for it is "tRNA-Thr". It matches the Rfam family "tRNA". Rfam says of the family: Transfer RNA (tRNA) molecules are approximately 80 nucleotides in length. Their secondary structure includes four short double-helical elements and three loops (D, anti-codon, and T loops). Lineage: Bacteria; Pseudomonadati; Pseudomonadota; Alphaproteobacteria; Hyphomicrobiales; Brucellaceae. The record is from RNAcentral. RNAcentral also lists the same sequence under 1 other name.